RNAcentral lists this ribosomal RNA (451 nucleotides) under alpha proteobacterium SCB32. RNAcentral describes it as "bacterial SSU rRNA". It matches the Rfam family "Bacterial small subunit ribosomal RNA", at positions 14 to 509 of the family's 1533-position model. Lineage: Bacteria; Pseudomonadati; Pseudomonadota; Alphaproteobacteria. The record is from RNAcentral.
UGAUCAUGGCUCAGAACGAACGCUGGCGGCAGGCCUAACACAUGCAAGUCGAGCGCAGUCCUUCGGGACCGAGCGGCGGACGGGUUAGUAACGCGUGGGAACAUACCCUUUUCUACGGAAUAGCCUCGGGAAACUGAGAGUAAUACCGUAUAAGCCCUUCGGGGGAAAGAUUUAUCGGGAAAGGAUUGGCCCGCGUUAGAUUAGAUAGUUGGUGGGGUAAUGGCCUACCAAGUCUACGAUCUAUAGCUGGUUUUAGAGGAUGAUCAGCAACACUGGGACUGAGACACGGCCCAGACUCCUACGGGAGGCAGCAGUGGGGAAUCUUAGACAAUGGGCGCAAGCCUGAUCUAGCCAUGCCGCGUGUGUGAUGAAGGUCUUAGGAUCGUAAAGCACUUUCGCCAGGGAUGAUAAUGACAGUACCUGGUAAAGAACCCCCGGCUAACUCCGUGCC